RNAcentral lists this ribosomal RNA (454 nucleotides) under uncultured bacterium. RNAcentral describes it as "bacterial SSU rRNA". It matches the Rfam family "Bacterial small subunit ribosomal RNA", at positions 336 to 795 of the family's 1533-position model. The record is from RNAcentral.
UUCCUACGGGAGGCAGCAGUGGGGAAUUUUGCGCAAUGGGCGAAAGCCUGACGCAGCAACGCCGCGUGGAGGAUGAAGGUCCUCGGAUCGUAAACUCCUGUCAGUGGGGACGAAAGCCCGCGAGGGAUUGACUGUACCCGCUGAGGAAGCCACGGCUAACUCCGUGCCAGCAGCCGCGGUAAUACGGAGGUGGCAAGCGUUGUUCGGAAUUACUGGGCGUAAAGGGCGCGUAGGCGGCAUUGCAAGUCAGAUGUGAAAGCCCCGGGCUUAACUCGGGAAUUGCAUCUGAAACUGCUUUGCUUGAGUCCUGGAGGGGGUAGUGGAAUUCCCAGUGUAGCGGUGAAAUGCGUAGAUAUUGGGAGGAACACCGGUGGCGAAGGCGGCUACCUGGACAGUGACUGACGCUGAUGCGCGAAAGCUAGGGUAGCAAACGGGAUUAGAUACCCUUGUAGUC